This is a non-coding RNA of Xylaria telfairii, 83 nucleotides long. Lineage: Eukaryota; Fungi; Ascomycota; Sordariomycetes; Xylariales; Xylariaceae. The record is from the annotation of a GenBank genome assembly.
UCUCGAUUGGUCUAGUGGUCAGGAUACCUGCUUGUCAAACAUACAAUUCGCAGGUGGCCGGGGUUCGAUUCCCCGAUCGAGAG